This 596-nucleotide ribosomal RNA is filed under the name Pseudoalteromonas distincta. Its description in RNAcentral is "partial 23S ribosomal RNA". It matches the Rfam family "Bacterial large subunit ribosomal RNA", at positions 1 to 652 of the family's 2925-position model. The record is from RNAcentral. RNAcentral also lists the same sequence under 1 other name. Lineage: Bacteria; Pseudomonadati; Pseudomonadota; Gammaproteobacteria; Alteromonadales; Pseudoalteromonadaceae.
GGUUAAGUGACUAAGCGUACACGGUGGAUGCCUUGGCAGUUGGAGGCGAUGAAGGACGUAUUAACUUGCGAUAAGCCUAGUCAAGCUAGUAAAAAGCGCUUGAGACUAGGAUUUCCGAAUGGGGAAACCCACCUGCUUGCAGGUAUCUUGCACUGAAUACAUAGGUGUAAGAGGCGAACGCGGAGAACUGAAACAUCUAAGUACCCGUAGGAACAGAAAUCAACCGAGAUUCCGGAAGUAGCGGCGAGCGAAACCGGACCAGCCCUUAAGCUUAUUAUGUGUUAGUGGAACAUUCUGGAAAGUUUGACGAUACAGGGUGAUAGUCCCGUACACGAAAAUGCAUCUUAAGUGAAAUCGAGUAGGUCGGAGCACGUGAAACUUUGACUGAAUAUAGGUGGACCAUCAUCUAAGGCUAAAUACUCCCAACUGACCGAUAGUGAACCAGUACCGUGAGGGAAAGGCGAAAAGAACCCCUGUGAGGGGAGUGAAAUAGAACCUGAAACCGUGUACGUACAAGCAGUAGGAGCCCUUCGAGGGUGACUGCGUACCUUUUGUAUAAUGGGUCAGCGACUUAUAUUUUGUAGCGAGGUUAACCG